CAAUAAGCGGAGGAAAAGAAACUAACAAGGAUUCCCCUAGUAACGGCGAGCGAACCGGGAAGAGCUCAAAUUUGAAAUCUGGCGUCCCACGGGCGUCCGAGUUGUAAUCUGCAGAGGCGUCUUCCGCCCCGGACCGCGUCCAAGUCCCUUGGAACAGGGUAUCAAAGAGGGUGACAAUCCCGUGCUUGACGCGACCCCCGGUGCUAUGUGAUGCGACCUCAAAGAGUCGAGUUGUUUGGGAAUGCAGCUCAAAACGGGUGGUAAAUUCCAUCUAAGGCUAAAUAUUGGCGAGAGACCGAUAGCGAACAAGUACCGUGAGGGAAAGAUGAAAAGCACUUUGGAAAGAGAGUUAAACAGUACGUGAAAUUGUUGGAAGGGAAACGAUUGAAGUCAGUCGUGUCCGAGGGGUUCAGCCGGUCCUGCCGGUGCACUCCCCUCGGACGGGUCAACAUCGGUUCUGUCCGGCGGACAAGGGCAGGGGGAACGUGGCACCCUCGUGGUGUGUUAUAGCCCCCCGUCGCAUACGUCGGUCGGGACCGAGGAUCGCAGCUCGCCCUCACGGGCCGGGGUUCGCCCACGUCCGAGCUUAGGAUGUUGACGUAAUGGCUUUAAACGACCCGUCU
This 623-nucleotide ribosomal RNA is filed under the name Tremella mesenterica. Its description in RNAcentral is "LSU rRNA". It matches the Rfam family "Eukaryotic large subunit ribosomal RNA", at positions 44 to 654 of the family's 3401-position model. The record is from RNAcentral. Lineage: Eukaryota; Fungi; Basidiomycota; Tremellomycetes; Tremellales; Tremellaceae.